Molecule: non-coding RNA, 1669 nt
Organism: Dromaius novaehollandiae (emu)
Lineage: Eukaryota; Metazoa; Chordata; Aves; Casuariiformes; Dromaiidae
Source: the annotation of a RefSeq genome assembly
AAGUUGGCCGCUGCCAGGACCUCACUUCCCAGCGCCGUGGGGCUGUAGCAGGGCGCCGUGGGGCGCCAUGGGGCACCGUGGGGCGCCGUGGGAGCUGGCCGUGGGGCAGAGCCAGGCGCUGUGGGGCACCGUGGGAGCCGGCCGUGGGGCAGAGCCGGGCACUGCUGCCCCCCAGCCAGGACCACCGCCCCGUCCGUCUUCCCCUUGAUGGCCUGCGGCGACGGCGGCUCCGAGCUCACCGUGGCCUGCUUCGUCAACGGCUUCUUCCCCGAGCCGGUGACGGUGACGUGGGACGGCGCGGCGGCCCACAAGCGCAUCCUGACCUUCCCCGCCGUGAAGCAGCCUUCCUCCGGCCUCUUCAGCCUCAGCAGCCAGCUCACCGUGCCGGCCGACAGCAGCAGCACCUACACCUGCGUCGUGGUCCACACGCCCUCCGGCUCCCGGAAGACGGUGCAGGUCGAGGGAAAACCCCAGCCCAAGCCGGCAGCCCCCACCGUGCGCCUGCUCUACAGCUGCACGCCGACGACGGUCGAGCUGCACUGCCUCAUGUCGCACUUCUACCCCAAAGAGGUGCGGGCGCAGUGGCGGGCGGACGGGGCGGCCACGACGCUGGUGCCGCACGAGGAGCCCGUCACGCCCGACGCCCGCGGCGGCACCUUCAGCACCAGCAGCCAGAUCACCGUCUCCACCGCCGAGUGGCUGGAGAAGACCUUCUCCUGCCAGGUCACCCACCCCGGCUCCGGCACCGUGCUGGAGGAGGUCGCCCGCAAGUGCCCAGGUGACGGCCCGAGGGACAGCGGCAUCCAGGUCUUCGUGACGCCGCCGAGCCCCGCGGAGCUCUACAUGUCGCAGAACCCGCAGCUGCGGUGCCAGGUCUCCAACAUGCCCAGCGACGACGGGCUGCGGGUGGACUGGGCCGGCGACCGCUCGGGCUCCCUCAGCCCGCUGCCCCUGCAGCUCCACGAGCAGCUCAACGGCACCUUCACCGCCAUCAGCGUGCUGCCCAUCUCCACCCGCCACUGGGACGAGGGCGAGACCUUCACCUGCACCGUCAUCCACAGCGAGCUCCCGGGGCCGUCCGUCCACCCCAUCGCCAGGAAGUCCGGCCGGCGCCUGGCGCCCAGCGUCUUCCUGCUGCCGCCGCCCGCCGAGGAGCUGAGCAGCAGCGGCGACACGGCCACGCUCACCUGCCUGGUGACCGGCUUCUACCCCUCGGAGGUCUCGGUGCAGUGGCUGCAGAACCAGGCGGCGGCGGAGCCCGGCACCGCCAGCACCGGGGCCCCGGCCCGCGACGCGGGCGCCGACGGCGCCUUCUUCCUCUACAGCCGGCUGGUGGUGGCCAAGGCGCAGUGGCAGCACGGCUCCAGCUUCGCCUGCAUGGUGGUGCACGAGGCGCUGCCCAUGAAGUUCGUGCAGCGCUCCGCCAGCCGCGGCCCCGAUCUCAGCCUGCCCGAGGACCUCUGCCACCUCGCCCCCGAGCAGCUCAACGGGCCCUGGGACACCAUCGCCGUCUUCAUCACCCUCUUCCUCCUCAGCGUCUGCUACAGCGCCACCGUCACCCUCUGCAAGGUCAAGUGGCUGCUGGCCACCGUGGUGCAGCUGAAGGGGGUCCCGGGGCCCGGCGCCAAGGGCGGCUUCCACCAUGCCGCGUAGCCCCCGCCGCCGCCGC